RNAcentral lists this ribosomal RNA (497 nucleotides) under uncultured bacterium. RNAcentral describes it as "partial 16S ribosomal RNA". It matches the Rfam family "Bacterial small subunit ribosomal RNA", at positions 28 to 508 of the family's 1533-position model. The record is from RNAcentral.
GAUGAACGCUGGCGGCGUGCCUAAUACAUGCAAGUCGAGCGAACAGACGAGGAGCUUGCUCCUCUGACGUUAGCGGCGGACGGGUGAGUAACACGUGGAUAACCUACCUAUAAGACUGGGAUAACUUCGGGAAACCGGAGCUAAUACCGGAUAAUAUAUUGAACCGCAUGGUUCAAUAGUGAAAGACGGUUUUGCUGUCACUUAUAGAUGGAUCCGCGCCGCAUUAGCUAGUUGGUAAGGUAACGGCUUACCAAGGCAACGAUGCGUAGCCGACCUGAGAGGGGGGGGGCCCACACUGACACUGGAACCGGCCCCGGCCCCCUCGGGGGGGCGCAAGGAGGAAUUCUUCGGAAAGGGGGGCAGGCCGGCGGACAACGGCCGGAGGGGGGGAGAAGGGUGUUCGAAUCAAAAAACUUUUUUAUGGGGAAGAAAAAAAUGUAAAAUUAACUCUCCCCGCCUGGAGGGACCCUAAUAGAAAGCCCACGCCAAACUCGGUC